AUACCCAUCCCUAUCUUGAGUGCUUUAUUUGAGAAAUGAGUUGUGUGUGCAGGAACCUGAGGAUCUGUUUGAGACCAUCUCCCAGGCCAUGCUGAACGCGGUGGACAGAGAUGCCGUGUCUGGAAUGGGAGUGGUCGUCCAUGUCAUUGAGAAGGACAAGAUCACCACACGAACCCUGAAAGCCAGGAUGGACUAGAGUUUGUUUCUCCCCACACUUCAACACACACGUUUUGUAUAAAAAUAACAAUGGUUGUUCUGUCUUUCUUUUCUUCAAAAAAUAAACAUGUUUAAACUACC
Molecule: long non-coding RNA, 297 nt
Organism: Notothenia coriiceps (black rockcod)
Lineage: Eukaryota; Metazoa; Chordata; Actinopteri; Perciformes; Nototheniidae
Exons: 2
Source: RefSeq, a predicted model, not a curated record